This 253-nucleotide ribosomal RNA is filed under the name uncultured Aminobacter sp. RNAcentral's name for it is "partial 16S ribosomal RNA". It matches the Rfam family "Bacterial small subunit ribosomal RNA", at positions 524 to 776 of the family's 1533-position model. The record is from RNAcentral. Lineage: Bacteria; Pseudomonadati; Pseudomonadota; Alphaproteobacteria; Hyphomicrobiales; Phyllobacteriaceae.
UACGAAGGGGGCUAGCGUUGUUCGGAAUUACUGGGCGUAAAGCGCACGUAGGCGGAUUGUUAAGUGAGGGGUGAAAUCCCAGGGCUCAACCCUGGAACUGCCUUUCAUACUGGCAAUCUCGAGUCCGAGAGAGGUGAGUGGAAUUCCGAGUGUAGAGGUGAAAUUCGUAGAUAUUCGGAGGAACACCAGUGGCGAAGGCGGCUCACUGGCUCGGUACUGACGCUGAGGCACGAAAGCGUGGGGAGCAAACAGG